UACAGAGGGGGCAAGCGUUGUUCGGAAUUACUGGGCGUAAAGGGCGCGUAGGCGGCCUUCUAAGUCGAACGUGAAAUCCCUGGGCUCAACCCAGGAACUGCGUCCGAUACUGGAAGGCUUGAAUCCGGGAGAGGGAUGCGGAAUUCCAGGUGUAGCGGUGAAAUGCGUAGAUAUCUGGAGGAACACCUGUGGCGAAAGCGGCGCACUGGACCACAACUGACGCUGAGGCGCGAAAGCUAGGGGAGCAAACAGG
RNAcentral lists this ribosomal RNA (253 nucleotides) under uncultured bacterium. Its description in RNAcentral is "partial 16S ribosomal RNA". It matches the Rfam family "Bacterial small subunit ribosomal RNA", at positions 524 to 776 of the family's 1533-position model. The record is from RNAcentral.